This 252-nucleotide ribosomal RNA is filed under the name uncultured Actinomycetes bacterium. RNAcentral describes it as "uncultured actinobacterium partial 16S ribosomal RNA". It matches the Rfam family "Bacterial small subunit ribosomal RNA", at positions 665 to 915 of the family's 1533-position model. The record is from RNAcentral. Lineage: Bacteria; Bacillati; Actinomycetota; Actinomycetes.
AAUUCCCGGUGUAGCGGUGAAAUGCGCAGAUAUCGGGAGGAACACCGGUGGCGAAGGCGGUUCUCUGGGCCUGUCCUGACGCUGAGGAGCGAAAGCGUGGGGAGCGAACAGGAUUAGAUACCCUGGUAGUCCACGCCGUAAACGUUGGGCGCUAGGUGUGGGGUCCUUCCACGGAUUCUGUGCCGCAGCUAACGCAUUAAGCGCCCCGCCUGGGGAGUACGGCCGCAAGGCUAAAACUCAAAGGAAUUGACG